CCUACGGGAGGCUGCAGUAGGGAAUCUUCCACAAUGGGCGCAAGCCUGAUGGAGCAACACCGCGUGAGUGAAGAAGGGUUUCGGCUCGUAAAGCUCUGUUGUUGAGGAAGAACGUGCGUGAGAGUAACUGUUCACGCAGUGACGGUAUCCAACCAGAAAGUCACGGCUAACUACGUGCCAGCAGCCGCGGUAAUACGUAGGUGGCAAGCGUUAUCCGGUGUUAUUGGGCGUAAAGGGAGCGCAGGCCGUUGCUUAGGUCUGAUGUGAAAGCCUUCGGCUUAACCGAAGAAGUGCAUCGGAAUGCGGGCAACUUGAGUGCAGAAGAGGACAGUGGAACUCCAUGUGUAGCGGUGGAAUGCGUAGAUAGAUGGAAGAACACCAGUGGCGAAGGCGGCUGUCUGGUCUGCAACUGACGCUGAGGCUCGAAAGCAUGGGUAGCGAACAGGAUUAGAUACCCCUGUAGUC
This 465-nucleotide ribosomal RNA is filed under the name uncultured bacterium. RNAcentral describes it as "partial 16S ribosomal RNA". It matches the Rfam family "Bacterial small subunit ribosomal RNA", at positions 338 to 795 of the family's 1533-position model. The record is from RNAcentral.